GCCGGGCGUGGUGGCGGGCGCCUGUAGUCUCAGCUACUUGGGAGGCUGAGGCAGGAGAAUGGCGUGAACCUGGGAAGCGGAGGUUGCAGUGAGCCGAGAUCGCGCCACUGCGCUCCAGCCUGGGUGACACAGCAAGACACCGUCUCAAAAAAAAAAAAAAAAAAAUUGUUUUUGGACUGAGCCUAGCUCUGUUGCCCAGGCUGGAGUACAAUGGCGCAAUCUUGGCUCACUGCAACCUCUGCCUUCCAGGUUCAAGGGAUUCUCCUGCCUCAG
Molecule: signal recognition particle RNA, 273 nt
Filed under: Pongo abelii (Sumatran orangutan)
Lineage: Eukaryota; Metazoa; Chordata; Mammalia; Primates; Hominidae
Description: Metazoan signal recognition particle RNA (ENSPPYG00000035993.1)
Rfam family: Metazoan signal recognition particle RNA
About the family: The signal recognition particle (SRP) is a universally conserved ribonucleoprotein. It is involved in the co-translational targeting of proteins to membranes.
Source: RNAcentral